Molecule: transfer RNA, 73 nt
Filed under: Paramuricea clavata
Lineage: Eukaryota; Metazoa; Cnidaria; Anthozoa; Malacalcyonacea; Plexauridae
Description: tRNA-Val
Source: RNAcentral
AUUUCUGUAGUGUAUUGGUCAUCACGUGCGCUUCACACGCGCAAGGUCCCCAGUUCGAUCCUGGGCCAAUACA